This 554-nucleotide ribosomal RNA is filed under the name uncultured bacterium. RNAcentral describes it as "bacterial SSU rRNA". It matches the Rfam family "Bacterial small subunit ribosomal RNA", at positions 504 to 1061 of the family's 1533-position model. The record is from RNAcentral.
UGUCCCAGCCGCCGCGGUAAGACGAAGGAUCCAAGCGUUGUCCGGAUUUACUGGGUUUAAAGGGUGCGUAGGCGGAAAAUUAAGUCAGUGGUGAAAGCCCGCAGCUCAACUGUGGAACUGCCAUUGAAACUGGUUUUCUUGAAUGUAGCUGAGGCAGAUGGAAUAUAACAUGUAGCGGUGAAAUGCUUAGAUAUGUUAUAGAACACCGAUUGCGAAGGCAGUCUGCUAAACUAUUAUUGACGCUGAGGCACGAAAGCGUGGGGAGCGAACAGGAUUAGAUACCCUGGUAGUCCACGCCCUAAACGUUGAUUACUCGCUGUUGGCGAUAUACUGUCAGUGGCUAAGCGAAAGCGUUAAGUAAUCCACCUGGGAAGUACGACCGCAAGGUUGAAACUCAAAGGAAUUGACGGGGGCCCGCACAAGCGGAGGAGCAUGUGGUUUAAUUCGAUGAUACGCGAGAAACCUUACCUGGGCUUAAAUGUCAGGUGACCGCUGCCGAAAGGUGGCUUCCCUUCGGGGCAACUGGCAAGGUGCUGCAUGGCUGUCGUCAGCUC